AUGAUGCAUCGACAUGUGGAAUUUUUCGGCAGUGGAUACUGUGCUCCAGAAUACGAGAACUGUGGGAAGAUGUCAAAAAAGGUUGACAUGUAUAGCUUGGGAGUUAUAAUCAUUGAACUCGUAACAGGACGUAAGGGUGAUCCAAAUAAGACUAAUGUGCUUCGAAGGUGGAGACACAGGUGGAACAAUUCACCAAUGCAUUCACUACGUUCACAAUGCCAGCAAGUAACUAGAUGCUUGGAUAUAGGGGCACGCUGCAGGAAAAAAGAACCAGAAGAUAGACCUUCUAUAUCAGCUAUAAUCGAUAUUCUCAGCAACAGUGAAAGCAUGGAUGAGCACAUUGAUCAGAUCAGCCUUUGCAUGGAUGAUGACAUGCUUGGAAUCAACCCGCUCGAACUAAGGUUUCCCUUCGAGCUUCAAAAGCAGAUGUCAUCCAUGGUAAUGCUAAUCAACAAGACAAAGAAUUACUAUGCUUUCAAUAUCGAAACGCCAGGCAAGCAGUACCGUACAGAACCAAACAAAGGCAUUCUGUCACCACAAUCCGAGGAUACUAUCCAGAUAACACUGGAAAUACAAGAGACUACACCGCACGAUCUGCCGUACUCCGACAAUUUUAUAGUGCAAAGCACAAAAGUCAAUGGGGAUUUUAGGGCCGAGGAUAUCACCAAAUACAUGUUCCAAAAAGAGCCAGUUGAAGUGGAUGAGGUAAAUUUGACGGUUGUAGUAUAUGAGAAUGAGGGACCUAAGGAAGAUCUCAAGAUUCGUGAAGAUACCAAGAAGAAACAAAAAUCGAUGAUUGAAUCUGCUUUGAGCACGGACAAACCUGGCGUUAACACAACUCACGAAGCAGAGGCCAUUCACAUGGAGAUAAAUUCUAUCAGCUACAAAUAUGCACGAGGACAAUGUAUCAAGCAACCAGAGCGUCUUAGUUUCCUCACAACUCCUAGACUUUUGUGUAAUCAGCAGACCAACAUGAGCGACAGAGCCGUGGAUCUUGUAACUGGGGCCAUGGGCAGCCUACACCAUAAGCUUGACGAUCUCCUCAAGGAAGAGUACAAUCUAGAGAAAAGCAUGAAGGGAGAAAUAGAUUUUCUAUCAGAAGAGCUGAGGGAUAUGCAGCUAGCCAUCCGGAAGGUGUCGGGGGUACAUCGGCACAACCUUGACGAUGAUGUCAUGCACUGGGUUGACACUGUCAGGGAGAUGUCAUAUGACAUUGAGGAUGUUGUUGAUGGUUUCCUGGUACACGAUGAGCCUCCAUCUAACACAAGCUUCUUCAGGGGGCUCAUUGAGAACAUGUUCAACCACUUCAAGUGGGGCAAGACUCACAAUCCAAUUGAAGAUGCUGUCAAAGAUAUCAAGAAACAAGUUGAGGUUGUGGCUGAAAGACGUAAAAGGUGGAAGGUUGAUGAAACAAUGGCUAAUGUAGCUUCCAAAAUUACCAUCGACCCUCGCAUUUCGGCUAUAUACAAAGAUCAGAAAGAACUUGUUGGCAUCAAAGAGCCAAGUAAUGUGCUAAUUCAGUGGCUUUCUGAUAAGGAUGGGGCUAUGGACGUGUCAAAACAGCAACUCAAGAUAGUCUCUAUCGUUGGAUUUGCAGGAUUGGGCAAGACAACACUUGCCAAGGCGGUGUAUAACCAGCUUCAAUCCCAGUUUGGUCCUAAGGCUUUUGUUCCAGUGGGUCGUAAUCCUAAUUUGAAAAAUGUUUUUGAGGCAAUUCUCCAUGGACUUAGCAAAGAAUCGAAUGCAGAAAACUUAAACGAAAUGCAGCUCAUCAACAAAAUCCGAGGAUUGCUCAAGAACAUGAGCUAUGCCCCAUCAACCUUUGACAAAAUCCGAGGAUUGUUUAAAUUACAGUACUUAAUUAAUUAA
Molecule: ribosomal RNA, 1869 nt
Filed under: Triticum aestivum (bread wheat)
Lineage: Eukaryota; Viridiplantae; Streptophyta; Magnoliopsida; Poales; Poaceae
Description: partial small subunit ribosomal RNA
Source: RNAcentral